UCGGCUUGUUGGCGAGAAAAAGAAACUAUUAAACCGACACGAAUGUCGCGACACCUACAAUAAGAUAUCCGAAACGUACGAUGACCAGCGUUACUAAAAAAAAUGCAUCAGUCACACUUCCAGAGUAUCCAUUUUUACUACCAAAUUUAAAUUGCGAGUUUUUAUGGACCCAUCACAAUUUGUUGCAUAACAAACAAACCGACAGAGCAACCAACAAGUAGCAGACUAGCAGACGUACGGCCAUCAUGCAUUCAACGAAUUCAAAUCCAUCCGGAAGUGCCGAUCUGAAUAAAAUGAUACUCAAUACAAAGGCAAGUGUCCUGGAAAAAGAAGAAAGACUUAGGAAGCUACACAUGGUUGUAGUAUACCGAGAAAAGAACGCCCCACUGGAUAGCCUGAUAACUCGGUGGAGAACAGCAGUGCAAGAGGCGUUGGUCCAACUCCGCGACAGAUUACCCGAACCCAAACCAACCUAUUCGCAGAUCCUGGACGGCUUGCAGAUAUCGCAUUCUACUGUAGGCUACAGUAAAGAUGAUGAUAGUUUUAUCUAGCUUGAGAA
Ornithodoros turicata is the source of this 559-nucleotide long non-coding RNA. RefSeq lists it as uncharacterized. NCBI's taxonomy places the organism in Eukaryota, Metazoa, Arthropoda, Arachnida, Ixodida, Argasidae. The record is from RefSeq and is a predicted model, not a curated record. The transcript has 2 exons.